UCUUUCACUGACUUUGCCCUCAGUCCUUUUCAGAAGAUCAUCCAACAUGUUUCUCUUCAGUUGGACAUUUUCAUUAUUCGUCGGCAUUUCUUUUGCAAACACAAUACAACCAUUAUCUUCUGAAAAGCAUGUUUUCAGAGGUGAAAAAGUGACUCUUACUUGUGACUACAGUGGCAAUGUAGAUAAUCUGCAGUGGUAUCGUCAAUAUCCUGGAUCUCGACCCGAGCACCUUAUUCUCGUCACAGAAUAUUCAGAACCUGAUCUUUCACUUCGUCUGUCAGCAAAAGCUUCCAAAGAUCUAAAACAAGUGAAUCUGACAAUCUCCUCUGCUGAAGAAACAGAUUCUGCUCUGUAUUACUGCGCUCUGAGGCCCACAGUGACAGGAAACACAUGAACACUGUACA
Carassius auratus (goldfish) is the source of this 404-nucleotide non-coding RNA. The record is from the annotation of a RefSeq genome assembly. NCBI's taxonomy places the organism in Eukaryota, Metazoa, Chordata, Actinopteri, Cypriniformes, Cyprinidae.